UACGAAGGGGGCUAGCGUUGUCCGGAAUUACUGGGCGUAAAGCGCGCGUAGGCGGCCAUGCAAGUCGGACGUGAAAGCCCGGGGCUUAACCCCGGAAAUGCGCCCGAGACUGCACGGCUCGAGACCAGGAGAGGGGAGCGGAAUUCCCAGUGUAGAGGUGAAAUUCGUAGAUAUUGGGAAGAACACCGGUGGCGAAGGCGGCUCCCUGGCCUGGUUCUGACGCUGAGGCGCGAAAGCGUGGGGAGCAAACAGG
This 253-nucleotide ribosomal RNA is filed under the name uncultured bacterium. Its description in RNAcentral is "partial 16S ribosomal RNA". It matches the Rfam family "Bacterial small subunit ribosomal RNA", at positions 524 to 776 of the family's 1533-position model. The record is from RNAcentral.